GACGAACGCUGGCGGCGUGCCUAACACAUGCAAGUCGAGCGAACGGACGAGAAGCUUGCUUGUUUGACGUUUGGCGAGGACGGGAGUGAAACACGUGUAUAACCCACCUAUCAGAGUGGGAAAACUUCGAGAAAGCGGCGCUUAUCCCAGAGGAUCUUCUGAUCCGUAUGGGUCAAAAGUGAAAGACGGCCUUGCGGUCACGUCUCGAUGCAUAUGCGCUGCAUGAGCUAGUUGGUAAGGUAACGGCUUACCAAGGCAACGAUGCAUAGCCGACCUGAGAGGGUGGUAGGCCACACUGGAACUGAGACACGGACCAGGCUCCUACGGGAGGCAGCAGAAGGGAAUCGUACGCAGUGGGGGAAAGCCUGGCGGAACGACGCCGCGUGUGUUAUAGAGGUCUUCGGUGCGUAAAACCGUCUUAUUAGUUGUAAACAUAUGUGGAAGGAACUGUACCCAUCGUGACGGUACCUAAUCAGAAAGCCACGGCUAACUACGUG
This 497-nucleotide ribosomal RNA is filed under the name uncultured bacterium. RNAcentral's name for it is "partial 16S ribosomal RNA". It matches the Rfam family "Bacterial small subunit ribosomal RNA", at positions 28 to 507 of the family's 1533-position model. The record is from RNAcentral.